GCGGAAAGGGACUGCUCAGCGAGCACGGCAGAGAGAACUUAAAAACCGCUAUGGGGUCAAACCCAUCGUGGGUUCGAAUCCCACGCCCUCCGCU
Molecule: transfer RNA, 94 nt
Filed under: Modestobacter italicus
Lineage: Bacteria; Bacillati; Actinomycetota; Actinomycetes; Geodermatophilales; Geodermatophilaceae
Description: tRNA-Und (NNN) (tRNA-Und-NNN-2-1)
Source: RNAcentral